GAUGAACGCUGGCGGCGUGCCUAAUACAUGCAAGUCGAGCGAACAGACGAGGAGCUUGCUCCUCUGACGUUAGCGGCGGACGGGUGAGUAACACGUGGAUAACCUACCUAUAAGACUGGGAUAGCUUCGGGAAACCGGAGCUAAUACCGGAUAAUAUAUUGAACCGCAUGGUUCAAUAGUGAAAGACGGUUUUGCUGUCACUUAUAGAUGGAUCCGCGCCGCAUUAGCUAGUUGGUAAGGUAACGGCUUACCAAGGCAACGAUGCGUAGCCGACCUGAGAGGGUGAUCGGCCACACUGGAACUGAGACACGGUCCAGACUCCUAAGGGAGGCAGCAGUAGGGAAUCUUCCGCAAUGGGCGAAAGCCUGACGGAGCAACGCCGCGUGAGUGAUGAAGGUCUUCGGAUCGUAAAACUCUGUUAUUAGGGAAGAACAAAUGUGUAAGUAACUAUGCACGUCUUGACGGUACCUAAUCAGAAAGCCACGGCUAACUACGUG
This 497-nucleotide ribosomal RNA is filed under the name uncultured bacterium. RNAcentral's name for it is "partial 16S ribosomal RNA". It matches the Rfam family "Bacterial small subunit ribosomal RNA", at positions 28 to 507 of the family's 1533-position model. The record is from RNAcentral.